CCCGCCACUACACCUGUCUGUCCGAGUGACCGAGUGUAAUCCAGUGGAGGCUCAGAGGGACCCGGCUUUAGGAAACAGGGCUGCCCAGACUGGUGGGCCGCUCUGUGCCGAAAAGUCUGGAACAUAA
This is a small nucleolar RNA of Mola mola (ocean sunfish), 127 nucleotides long. Lineage: Eukaryota; Metazoa; Chordata; Actinopteri; Tetraodontiformes; Molidae. The record is from Ensembl.